GAGGGUAUAGUUCAGUGGUAGAGUGCAUACCUAGCAUGUGCAGGGUCCUGGGUUCAAGCCCCAGUACCUCCA
RNAcentral lists this transfer RNA (72 nucleotides) under Camelus bactrianus (Bactrian camel). It matches the Rfam family "tRNA". From Rfam's summary of the family: Transfer RNA (tRNA) molecules are approximately 80 nucleotides in length. Their secondary structure includes four short double-helical elements and three loops (D, anti-codon, and T loops). RNAcentral also lists the same sequence under 2 other names. Lineage: Eukaryota; Metazoa; Chordata; Mammalia; Artiodactyla; Camelidae. The record is from Rfam by way of RNAcentral.